This 406-nucleotide ribosomal RNA is filed under the name Amolops mengyangensis. RNAcentral describes it as "partial 16S ribosomal RNA". It matches the Rfam family "Bacterial large subunit ribosomal RNA", at positions 1834 to 2453 of the family's 2925-position model. The record is from RNAcentral. Lineage: Eukaryota; Metazoa; Chordata; Amphibia; Anura; Ranidae.
CUUGCCUAGACAUAAGAGGUCCAGCCUGCCCAGUGACAUAGUUUAACGGCCGCGGUACCCUAACCGUGCGAAGGUAGCAUAAUCACUUGUUCUUUAAAUAGGGACUCGUAUCAACGGCAUCACGAGGGCUGUACUGUCUCCUUUCUCCAAUCAGUGAAACUGAUUUCCCCGUGAAGAAGCGAGGAUAAACCUAUAAGACGAGAAGACCCCAUGGAGCUUUAAACCCAUCACACACCUCUAAGCACUUAAAACAAUAUAGCCCAAGGGACUUGUGUGUUGGUUUUAGGUUGGGGGGACCGCGGAGUAAAAUUAAACCUCCACGACAGACGGACUAACACCCUUAUCCAUGAACUACAAUUCUAAGAGCCAAUAAAUUGUUGUCUAAUGACCCAAUUAUAUGAUCAAC